GCAUAAAUAAUGUUUUUCAGGCUACAGUAGCAAAGCGAAAAUAUCAGGAGCGAAGAUCUUUGACCAUGGCUCCUCCGAUCUGUGAAGAAAGUCUGGCUGCUCCUCAGGAGCACCUCACAGAGACCCCUCUCUGAGAACAGGCAGUCUUUUCAUGCCUUUCUACAUUCUGAACUGAAGCAAGUGUUUGUCACCCAGGAAACCUCAGGCCAGGCAGUACGUGGUGGCAGUGCGUGUGUGAAGUGUCUGUGCACGCCUUGCGCGUGGGCUGGAGCCCGCCUUCGGAGAGCCGCCCCACAGCCCCUCCUGAGGCAGCUGCAGCUGCAGGGGAACGUGGCAGUGGAGCAGGAGGUGUCACAGGGAGGGAAGGCCACCCUGGGAGGGGUGGACGGAGGCAGUGCCAGUUCCUCUGGCUCUCAGCAGUGGAGGGCUUCAGACCCUCCUGCUACGAGGGACUGAACGCUACAGAGAGGAGACAGACACAGCUUUUGCCUGCAGGAACUGACCUUGUGCCAGUGACAUCAAUGGAAACAUUGCCAUUGACAUUAUUGGGAAUUGGAUCAGAUGCACAGUUUGCACCAGCCAUGUGAUAGCUGUAGGUAAUGAUAUUUUUCUUAUCACAUUU
RNAcentral lists this long non-coding RNA (622 nucleotides) under Cyanistes caeruleus (blue tit). Its description in RNAcentral is "lncRNA (ENSCCEG00000015718.1)". Lineage: Eukaryota; Metazoa; Chordata; Aves; Passeriformes; Paridae. The record is from RNAcentral.